ACGGAGGAACGCCGCGUGCCGGAAGACGGCCUUCGGGUUGUAAACGGCUUUUGUUGGGGAAGACAUGGACGGUACCCAACGAAUAAGGGCCGGCUAACUCCGUGGCAGCAGCCGCGGUAAGACGGAGGGGGCAAGCGUUGUCCGGACUCACUGGGCGUAAAGCGUGCGUAGGCGGUACGGAGCGUCGCCACUGAAAGCUCCCGGCUCAACUGGGAGAGGUGUGGCGAUACGACCGAACUGGAGGCAGAGAGAGGUGUGCAGAAUUCCGGGUGUAGUGGUGAAAUGCGUAGAGAUCCGGAGGAAUGUCGGUGGCGAAAGCGGCACACUGGUUCUGACCUGACGCUGAGGCACGAAAGCGUGGGGAGCAAACCGGAUUAGAUACCCGGGUAGUCCACGCAGUAAACGAUGUCGGCUCGGUGUGCAGUGGUGUACCAACACCACCGCGUGCCCCAGUUCACACGGUAAGCCGACCGCCUGGGGACUACGAGCGCAAGCUUAAAACUCAAAGGAAUUGACGGGGCCCCGCACAAGCAGCGGAGCGUGUGGUUCAAUUCGAUGCUACACGAAGAACCUUACCUGGGUUUGACAUCUAGGUGGUACCGAACCGAAAGGGGAGGGACCCUUCGGGGAGCCUAGACAGGUGCUGCAUGGCUGUCGUCAGCUCGUGCCGUGAGGUGUCGGGUUAAGUCCCGUAACGAGCGCAACCCUUGCCCUUAGUUACAAGUGUCUAAGGGGACUGCCGGCGGUAAGCCGGAGGAAGGUGGGGAUGACGUCAAGUCAGCAUGGCCCUUAUAUCCAGGGCUACACACACGCUACAAUGGUCGGUACAAAGGGCAGCGAAGCCGCGAGGUGGAGCGAAUCUCCCAA
This 867-nucleotide ribosomal RNA is filed under the name uncultured Chloroflexaceae bacterium. Its description in RNAcentral is "bacterial SSU rRNA". It matches the Rfam family "Bacterial small subunit ribosomal RNA", at positions 386 to 1279 of the family's 1533-position model. The record is from RNAcentral. Lineage: Bacteria; Bacillati; Chloroflexota; Chloroflexia; Chloroflexales; Chloroflexaceae.